RNAcentral lists this ribosomal RNA (454 nucleotides) under uncultured Prevotella sp. Its description in RNAcentral is "partial 16S ribosomal RNA". It matches the Rfam family "Bacterial small subunit ribosomal RNA", at positions 341 to 792 of the family's 1533-position model. Lineage: Bacteria; Pseudomonadati; Bacteroidota; Bacteroidia; Bacteroidales; Prevotellaceae. The record is from RNAcentral.
ACGGGAGGCAGCAGUGAGGAAUAUUGGUCAAUGGGCGGAAGCCUGAACCAGCCAAGUCGCGUGAAGGAUGAAGGUAUUAUGUAUUGUAAACUUCUUUAGUCGCAGGGAAAUAAGGGGAUCGUGAUCCCUGAUGCUAGUAUGCGAAGAAUAAGGAUCAGCUAACUCCGUGCCAGCAGCCGCGGUAAUACGGAGGAUCCGAGCGUUAUCCGGAUUUAUUGGGUUUAAAGGGAGCGUAGGCGGUAUUUUAAGCGUGUUGUGAAAUGUAGACGCUCAACGUCUGAAUUGCAGCGCGAACUGGAGUACUUGAGUGCGCAGGAAGUUGGCGGAAUUCGUCGUGUAGCGGUGAAAUGCUUAGAUAUGACGAAGAACUCCGAUUGCGAAGGCAGCUGACUGUAGCGUGACUGACGCUGAAGCUCGAAAGUGCGGGUAUCGAACAGGAUUAGAUACCCUGGUA